GUGGGGAAUAUUGGACAAUGGGCGCAAGCCUGAUCCAGCCAUGCCGCGUGUGUGAUGAAGGCCUUAGGGUUGUAAAGCACUUUUGUCCGGGAAGAUAAUGACUGUACCGGAAGAAUAAGCCCCGGCUAACUUCGUGCCAGCAGCCGCGGUAAUACGAAGGGGGCUAGCGUUGCUCGGAAUCACUGGGCGUAAAGGGCGCGUAGGCGGACUCUUAAGUCGGGGGUGAAAGCCCAGGGCUCAACCCUGGAAUUGCCUUCGAUACUGAGAGUCUUGAGUUCGGAAGAGGUUGGUGGAACUGCGAGUGUAGAGGUGAAAUUCGUAGAUAUUCGCAAGAACACCAGUGGCGAAGGCGGCCAACUGGUCCGAUACUGACGCUGAGGCACGAAAGCGUGGGGAGCAAACAGGAUUAGAAACCCUUGUAGUCC
This 425-nucleotide ribosomal RNA is filed under the name uncultured bacterium. Its description in RNAcentral is "partial 16S ribosomal RNA". It matches the Rfam family "Bacterial small subunit ribosomal RNA", at positions 354 to 796 of the family's 1533-position model. The record is from RNAcentral.